UUAAGAGUAACAAACUCAACUAAAGGCAGCGAAACUAAAUUAGUUCAAGUAAAGUCGAUUGGGAAUAACAAACUACAAUUUGUUAUUGAAUACAUAUUUAAGAUUCUGUAAUAUCUUUAUGUAUUAAAUUCCACCAAAGUUUACAACUAGGCCAAUGAUGAGAUUAAAACAGUGGAAGUAGGAGUUUUGUUUUGGAUCCCAUAGUUGCCACUAAACAGCCAGUCUUCUUGUAUGUUUGUAAGUUUUAUAAUCUCACAGGCUCCAUCUCUAUGAAAAAGAUCUAAAACUUUUUUUUUCUUCUUUGCUUUAGAAAUUAUUUUAAAUUUCAAUCAUGCAGAAUCUUAAAAAUAUUACAGGAUCAUCACUUUUAAGCAAGCAGAUGUAGUUGAUAUAAACUGUUUUCCCUCUUGACUCCAUGCUAAUUUCCAUAAGACUAAUCUAUCUGAAAGUAACAACAGUACUUGUGUGCAAUUUCGUUUGAUUUCUGACACAGUUCAUUGAUUUAAUACCAGUCUUCCUGCUUCAGAAUCCAGUAUUUCUUUGAUUUACAGAAGGAGCCACGUCAAACUGUUAAAAUCUGCCGAUACACUUACUUCCCUAUUUUCACUUACAUAUAACACAGGCCCUCCGAGGUGCUUUCCUAAGAUGUAACCAAUCUCCUAUUUGACCUUUUGCUGCCUACAUAUUGUUGAUCACCCUUUUUCCAAUCACUGCCCAGAGCAAAAUUAAGGUUGGCUACCCCCCGUCCAAUAUCUGUUUCCUCUAGUUACAUAAAUACAUACAUUUUAUUUACAUAAACACACCUAGAUAACUUUCGAUUUUUCUGGCCAUGGAGUUGCAGCUUCAUCACUGAAAACUGACAGAUGAAUCAAACUGAGAUUCAUGCCAACAUUUCACCACACAGCUCAUUUUUUUUUUUUUUUUUUUUUUUAUGUCACUCUUCUAGUCUUGACUUCCACUCCUUUAAAUGAUGCAGUGCAUCUCUGUAAGGUUCUAUAACGCAGCUACAUUGAAAUGGAAAAAGGAAAAAUCUUCGAUAUCUAAACACUGCAUGACCUGACAGGGAGGAUGGCAACAGGAAACCUGCAAUACAUAACAUCCACCUUUCCAGGCAAUCAGCCACGGAUCAUGCACACUGCUGGCUGCGAAUUUCCCCAAAAGUGGAAGACAAGAAUGAUACAAUGAAACUUUGUGGCGGCCUCAAAAACCAGUGGUAGGAAGCAAUCACAAGUGAAACAAACACCGAGGCAUGCACUUCAAUGUUAGAAGGAGAACAUAGACACAUCCAGUAACACAGUGAGCUAAAUAUAUCGGCUGGUGUAGAUGUAGGUCAGAUGUUUGGUGGGCACGGACAGGUGGUUUAGCUAAAAAGAAGCACAGGCACAACAGAAAAUACUAGAUGGCAACAGAAGAACUCUCACAGAACCGCAAGUGCCAUGGUCAAAUUUUCCAUGUAUAUAUAUAUAAAAAAAAAAGUCUUUUUUUUUUUUAAA
Girardinichthys multiradiatus is the source of this 1493-nucleotide long non-coding RNA. RefSeq lists it as uncharacterized. The transcript is spliced from 3 exons. Lineage: Eukaryota; Metazoa; Chordata; Actinopteri; Cyprinodontiformes; Goodeidae. The record is from RefSeq and is a predicted model, not a curated record.